RNAcentral lists this small nucleolar RNA (149 nucleotides) under Exophiala spinifera. The record is from RNAcentral. Lineage: Eukaryota; Fungi; Ascomycota; Eurotiomycetes; Chaetothyriales; Herpotrichiellaceae.
AUUCGGGUUGAUAACUAGGCGGUGGUUUAAGUUUGCUCAACAACCUUUGCCCUUUAAGUACCCGAGAGAUUGAGAUCUCGGCGGUCGAUCUUACACAUUUGCUUUCUUUCUCUCUGUGUUGGUUACAUGUUUAUUCGAUCGCAACAUAC